RNAcentral lists this ribosomal RNA (628 nucleotides) under uncultured archaeon. RNAcentral describes it as "bacterial SSU rRNA". It matches the Rfam family "Archaeal small subunit ribosomal RNA", at positions 1 to 605 of the family's 1478-position model. The record is from RNAcentral.
UUCCGGUUGAUCCUGCCGGACCCUACUGCUAUCGGGGGAGGACUAAGACAUGCAAGUCGUGCGUCUCUAAGCUAUGGUGGAGACGCGGCGUACGGCUCAGUAACACGUGGCUAACCUACCCUUGAGACGGAGAAAACCCCGGGAAACUGGGGCUAAUCCCCGAUAAGAGAAGACCCCUGGAAUGGGUCUCCUCUCAAAGGGCGUCUAGACCAUGCUUUUGGAUGCCGCUCAAGGAUGGGGCCGCGGCCGAUCAGGUUGUUGGUGAGGCAACGGCUCACCAAGCCUUUAACCGGUACGGGCCGUGAGAGCGGGAGCCCGGAGAUGGGCACUGAGACAAGGGCCCAGGCCCUACGGGGCGCAGCAGUUGCGAAAACUCUGCAAUGCACGAAAGUGUGACAGGGCUACCCCGAGUGCCGUCCGCUGAGGGCGGCUUUUCCCUGGUGUAAGGAGCCGGGGGAAUAAGGAGAGGGCAAGUCUGGUGUCAGCCGCCGCGGUAAUACCAGCUCUCCGAGUGGUAGGGAUAAUUAUUGGGCUUAAAGCGUCCGUAGCCGGCCUGGCAAGUCUUCCGUUAAAUCCAACGAUUCAAUCGUUGGACUGCGGGAUAUACUGUCGGGCUAGGGGACGGGAG